UACGGAGGGGACUAGCGUUGUUCGGAAUUACUGGGCGUAAAGCGCGCGCAGGCGGUCUUCCAAGUCAGUGGUGAAAGCCCGGAGCUCAACUCCGGAAUUGCCAUUGAAACUGUUAGACUUGAGGAUGAGAGAGGUGAGUGGAAUUCCCAGUGUAGAGGUGAAAUUCGUAGAUAUUGGGAAGAACACCGGUGGCGAAGGCGGCUCACUGGCUCAUUACUGACGCUCAGGCGCGAUAGCGUGGGGAUCAAACAGG
RNAcentral lists this ribosomal RNA (253 nucleotides) under uncultured bacterium. RNAcentral's name for it is "partial 16S ribosomal RNA". It matches the Rfam family "Bacterial small subunit ribosomal RNA", at positions 524 to 776 of the family's 1533-position model. The record is from RNAcentral.